CGCAGCUAAACUGCGUAAUGACAGAGCUCGAGCCCAUUCAUUACAGGCGAGAGGCGCGAGACCUUGGUCAGGAUGCGCGCGAGGGGGUCAUGAUCCGCGUAAAUAAAAACGCCAUUUAAACUUUCUUUUUGAAAAUAAUAAUAAAAAAAGACAAAAAAAAGCGCGCACCGUUUGUUUGGAGCAGGUGGAUGAUUGUACACGGUUGACUGACCACGAUGAACAGAGAGAAAGAGUGAGAGAGAUGCGCUCGCGGAAAGAGCAUUCAAGUCGCGCGAGCUUCCUCAGUGCGUUUGCUAAUUAGCGCGAGGACACUGCUCUGUUUCGCGCGGGCACCCCGCCGACCUGACAGGAAAGAAAAAGCUAAGCUAAUCUAACUUACCACACGAUAAAUCACUCUGUUUUCUUUUCAGAAGACACUGACUGACAGCUCCAAACAUUUCCCCCCCUUUUUUUACUUUCCCUCCCACAGUUUCACUUGUUCAUAUAUAUAUAUAUAUAUUAAAAUCUGUUUGUAAAGACAUUUCUUCUUCUUUGUGAGACAGUAAAUCACCCAUUAGCUUGACUGACAGCUACUAGUUUAUUAGAACACAGCUCGUCUUUUAAAAAAAACAACCUUUUUUUAUCUGUUUAUUUCGUAUCAAAAUAUAGAAAUAGCCUAAAUUUUAAAAUGUACAUCAGAAACAUUUGAUCAGUUUGUUCUGUAAGUGAAGUGAGGUAAGUGGCUGAGGUAAGUUUAUAGUUUAGAGUCGUCCAAAUCCAUUCCCAGCCUUACAGUAAUACAUUUAUCUCACUAAUUAAGUUUUCAUUGUUGAAUUAGUACAUAUGAUGUCGAAUUACAGUGUUUAAUCGACUUCUAAACAGUGAUUAUUGAGUCAGUCAUUAGGUGCUGUACUGUAGGUGUUCACGUUAAUUCAGUAUAUUUACAUUUCUGCACAUAUUUCCGUAAAACAAAUAUGUCUAACACCAAAUAACAGCUGAUGUAUUUCCUAUUCUGGUUACAGGAAGUAACAUCAGAAGACCUGAAACACUGAAAGUUGAAGUUUGAGGAGUGGGAGCCAGCAGCGGUGGAACCCUGCCGGCACGGAGAGCGACCUCGGAACAAUACAGCAGCGUUGAGAGCAGAUGGGAGUAUCUGGUGUGACCCCCUUGUGCAGUAAUAGCUGCAGAUAACCGUCUGGGGUAACUCUUGAUCAGUCCUGCACAUCGGCUUGGAGGAGUUUUAUCCCGUUCCUCAGUACAGAACAGCUUCAACUCUGGGAUGUUGGUG
Molecule: long non-coding RNA, 1267 nt
Organism: Ictalurus punctatus (channel catfish)
Lineage: Eukaryota; Metazoa; Chordata; Actinopteri; Siluriformes; Ictaluridae
Source: Ensembl